RNAcentral lists this transfer RNA (59 nucleotides) under Hemidactylus brookii. Its description in RNAcentral is "tRNA-Ser". Lineage: Eukaryota; Metazoa; Chordata; Lepidosauria; Squamata; Gekkonidae. The record is from RNAcentral.
GAGGGCGGCUUAAUUAGACUGCUAAUCUACUUCCCCCAGGACUAACCUCUUGGCCCCCU